RNAcentral lists this ribosomal RNA (464 nucleotides) under uncultured bacterium. RNAcentral describes it as "partial 16S ribosomal RNA". It matches the Rfam family "Bacterial small subunit ribosomal RNA", at positions 28 to 507 of the family's 1533-position model. The record is from RNAcentral.
GACGAACGCUGGCGGCGUGCCUAACACAUGCAAGUCGAGCGAAUGAAGUUCCUUCGGGAAUGGAUUUAGCGGCGGACGGGUGAGUAACACGUGGGCAACCUGCCUCAUAGAGGGGAAUAGCCUCCCGAAAGGGAGAUUAAUACCGCAUAAGAUUGUAGUACCGCAUGAUACAGCAAUUAAAGGAGCAAUCCGCUAUGAGAUGGGCCCGCGGCGCAUUAGCUAGUUGGUGAGGUCAUGGCUCACCAAGGCGACGAUGCGUAGCCGACCUGAGAGGGUGAUCGGCCACAUUGGGACUGAGACACGGCCCAGACUCCUACGGGAGGCAGCAGUGGGGAAUAUUGCACAAUGGGGGAAACCCUGAUGCAGCAACGCCGCGUGAGUGAUGACGGCCUUCGGGUUGUAAAGCUCUGUCUUCAGGGACGAUAAUGACGGUACCUGAGGAGGAAGCCACGGCUAACUACGUG